This 461-nucleotide long non-coding RNA is filed under the name Malus domestica (apple). RNAcentral describes it as "long non-coding RNA (MDOM_LNC011416)". Lineage: Eukaryota; Viridiplantae; Streptophyta; Magnoliopsida; Rosales; Rosaceae. The record is from RNAcentral.
UGUACUUAGCUCAAAUGCACUAGAUCAGACAUCUUAUGUGCUGAUAAUCUUUUGGCAUAAAGUAGCACUGCGCGUACACGCCACCACCAUAUUUGGUGUUAAAGAUGUUUUUCCGUUACUACUGAUUUGGGCUUAUUCCUUAUGCAUCUCAGAAUAGAUCACACCCCCUUGAUCUUCAAAAUGAUGCCUACCUUGUGGGAUUCACUGAAUCAGACCAUCUGUCUGACCGCAUAAGGUACGUUCCCGCAUGGUUAUAUCUUUGCCAUUAAGGAACACCGCAAUAUCUUUGAGGUCAACCAGACUUUUGUUGAAAAACCUUUUAAUUGCUCCAAGACUCACUAUGUCUCAUCACGUGAGAGAUAUGGUUGAGAACUCUUGUUGAGCAUAUUCAAAAUCCCUGCAUUUUUCAUCCAUCGUUGAGUCCCAAUGACGAUCCAUGAAUACAACGUCGUAUGUAUCGA